Molecule: long non-coding RNA, 1339 nt
Organism: Lycium barbarum (goji berry)
Lineage: Eukaryota; Viridiplantae; Streptophyta; Magnoliopsida; Solanales; Solanaceae
Exons: 3
Source: RefSeq, a predicted model, not a curated record
CCUCUUCUAAGUAUAUUUAAAUUCAUUGAAGUCAUAGCUAAAUUGUGGGACGAGAAAUACGAAAAUUAUACCGUAAAUUGUAUUUGAUGUUGUUGUUGACUCAUGGGCUGUUUGUUGGACUGUUUUGUGGGUUAUGUAAACGUUGUUAUGGACGGAAAUUAUGUUAUACGACACGAUUACGAUAAUGAGUAUAUGAAGUGUGUUAAAAAUAGUCCAUAUUUAAGUGAAUUGAGAUCAAGAAAUUAAUUAUGUGUAUAAUUGGUUAAAUUGGGAUUUGUAGUGGAAAAUAAGAAUUAAAUUAAGAUAAAUAAAUAAGUUUGGUGGACCAAACAACGUGGGUGACAUGUGCACCAAGGGGAAGCAUAUAAUCUUGUAAAUAUAAUUGUGAUGACAAAGCUUAAGAUGGGCUUAUAGUAUUACACGUGUGAAUAUAAAAGCCACCCUAAGAAACCUUUGAUUAUUUUUCUUGAAUUGUUGCUCUCAAGGAUAAGGCAGCAACGUCUUUGUUGGAAAGAAUCACAUACUUCAAUAUCUCUUAUCAUAAAAAUUGAAUAUCCCACCCAAGUAAGGAAUAUCUUGUAAUGAAAAGGAAGGGCAAACAGCAAGCAGUACGUAUUGCAACAAAAUAACUCCAUUGUUGGAGAAAUGGAGAAAUUGACGUGACAAAAAUAAUAAGCAGCAAGCUCACGGCCAUGGCUGUCCCAAUCCAACUUUGGAUUUUUUUUUUUAUAGCAAAAAUUAAAUUCUCAAGGGUGUUCUUCGUGCAAGGAGGCAGCAAUACAAGAAUAUUGAAUUGAGGAAGGAGAAAUUGUGAAAUUGGAACAAAUAAGUGUAGAAAUUCCUCCGAGUUAGUUAAGGCUAAAAGAGCAACAAGGCGAACGGGUUUGCGAAUAGUUGCUAACAGGUACAGAUAGUCGGUUUGGUGACCCUUCAGCAUAAGACUUCUACUCAGCUGUCUUGGAGAGCUCCGUUGUUCGGGAGUUUAGACUUUUGGUACAGAUCUUAUGAUAUAUAUAUAUAUAUAUAUAUAUAUAUAUAUAUAUAUAUAUGUAUGUAUGUUUAUCCAGGGGUACGACGGGGCCCUGUCCCGUCAUAUUUCACUGUUAGUACUCUUAGAGGUCUAUAGACAGAUAUGUGGGUUGUGUAUAAGUUCUGUUCAACUGUGUCUAUCCGAUGUGCUAUGAUAUGAUGUCCGUCUGUAGUGGCAGCCUUGGCGACUUGCAUAUGACAUGAUGAUGAUGUGUAGUGGCAGCCUUGUCGGCUUGCGUAUCAUUUUAUGAUUUGAUCAGUUAUGACUCCUCAGGAGAAAGUUAUCUGAAUAUACAUAUAUGUUGACGUU